AGCAGCCAUUGCGGUAAUUCCAGCUCCAAUAGCGUAUAUUAAGGUUGCUGCGGUUAAAAAGCUCGUAGUUGAAUUUCGGAAUUGAUGCAUCGGUCGUGCCUUAAGGGGCAUGAACUGGUGUAGCCAAUUUCUCACCUUCUGGUGAAUUGUGAUGUUCUUAAUGGGUGUCUCAAUGAACUAGAAUUUUUUACUUUGAAAAAAUUAGAGUGUUUAAAGCAGGCAUUAAUUUGCUUGAAUACAUUAGCAUGGAAUAAUGAAAUAGGACAGUGGUUCCGUUUUGUUGGUUUCUAGGAUCACGUAAUGAUUAAUAGGGACAGUUGGGGGCAUUAGUAUUCAAUUGUCAGAGGUGAAAUUCUUGGAUUUAUUGAAGACUAACUAUUGCGAAAGCAUUUGCCAAGGAUGUUUUCAUUAAUCAAGAACGAAAGUUAGGGGAUCAAAGACGAUUAAGUACGUCGUAGUCCUAACCAUAAACUAUACCGACUAGGAAUCAGACGAUGUUAAUUUUUUAAUGACUCGUUUGGUACCUUACG
Molecule: ribosomal RNA, 530 nt
Filed under: uncultured Entrophosporaceae
Lineage: Eukaryota; Fungi; Glomeromycota; Glomeromycetes; Entrophosporales; Entrophosporaceae
Description: SSU rRNA
Rfam family: Eukaryotic small subunit ribosomal RNA
Source: RNAcentral